RNAcentral lists this microRNA precursor (66 nucleotides) under Marmota monax (woodchuck). The record is from RNAcentral. Lineage: Eukaryota; Metazoa; Chordata; Mammalia; Rodentia; Sciuridae.
UCUUAUGAAAGAAAAAAGAAAGUGGUUUCUUGAGCUAAAAUCUACUCCUGGUGAAGAUGCUGGAGA